CCUUCGGGAGGCAGCAGUGAGGAAUAUUGGUCAAUGGCCGGAAGGCUGAACCAGCCAAGCCGCGUGAAGGACGAAGGUGCCAAGCAUUGUAAACUUCUUUUGUCAAGGGACAAAAUCAGGCUCGAGAGCCUGACCGAGGGUACUUGAAGAAAAAGCAUCGGCUAACUACGUGCCAGCAGCCGCGGUAAUACGUAGGGGGCAAGCGUUAUCCGGAUUUACUGGGUGUAAAGGGAGCGUAGGCGGUUUAGCAAGUCAGAAGUGAAAGCCCGGGGCUCAACUCCGGGACUGCUUUUGAAACUGUUGAACUAGAUUGCAGGAGAGGUAAGUGGAAUUCCUAGUGUAGCGGUGAAAUGCGUAGAUAUUAGGAGGAACACCAGUGGCGAAGGCGGCUUACUGGACUGUAAAUGACGCUGAGGCUCGAAAGCGUGGGGAGCAAACAGGAUUAGAUACCCUUGUAGUC
RNAcentral lists this ribosomal RNA (460 nucleotides) under uncultured bacterium. Its description in RNAcentral is "partial 16S ribosomal RNA". It matches the Rfam family "Bacterial small subunit ribosomal RNA", at positions 338 to 795 of the family's 1533-position model. The record is from RNAcentral.